This 558-nucleotide long non-coding RNA is filed under the name Bos taurus (domestic cattle). Its description in RNAcentral is "long non-coding RNA NONBTAT020638". Lineage: Eukaryota; Metazoa; Chordata; Mammalia; Artiodactyla; Bovidae. The record is from RNAcentral.
GUCAAGUUGUGACAUUUUUUGUAUACAGGACAUCCUGGGAUGGCCAUCUAAAGGCUGUUUGGGUGACUAGUGUAGAUAGAAUUCUCUUGAAUUUUAAAGUAACUUAUUUGUAAUGUUUUGUUUAUAAGUGAAGUGAUGCCCAAUGUGGGUUCUCCCUAGACUUUUAACCCUGGGGCAGGUGGUAUUUAAAGCAUUAUUUUGAAAUGUUCAAAAGCAUAGUAUGUGCUUUUUAAUGGAACGUGUUUUGGAAGCUUUCCAUGAGCAUCAGCAGCUGUGCUUUUAGAAUAUCUUGAAUUACCAUCCUUUUGGGUAGACAUUGUACCACUUCUUAAGAAAUACAGCUCCUGUGUUAAAGUAAAUAUCAUGUGUGGGUCUGUGGAGCUGGGACUGGUCUAAAGAUGUAGUAGGAAGGACAUGUAGGUGUGGUUUUGUGAUAGUAGUAGUUGCAAAGUUAGGAAGAUGUAUUUGGAGAAGGGUUGUGCUAUGUCUUUUAAAAAUUGCCUUUCACAGAGACUAGUUCAUCUAAUAAGUGCUUAACUGAUUAAUGAGCUGAUCAAA